UUUACUAAAACAAUUUUUCUGUCUUCUUCUUUUUAUUAUAAGUAUUAUUCUAGGAGUGUUACAAUUUAUUAUUACAAUUAAAACGUGAUAUUUAUAAGAUAGUAAAGGUGUAGGUGUUGUUGUGGUGUCAACACUACCCAUAAUGCUCAGCUCCUCCUCUACAACCUCUGGUCGCAAUGGGUAAGGAUAUAUCCCAUAAACACGACCGAAAGGUCAUCAGGCGGAAGCCCAAGUCACAAGAUGUUUAUUUGAGGCUUCUGGUUAAGCAGUGACCUGAGGAUGCUAUCAACUAAGCCACAAGUGACCCAACAUGAUUUAGGUUUAUUUUAGGUAAGGUUACAUUAUAGGUUUAUACCUGCUGAUAAUUUUGCUAAAUUUUUAUAUAGUGCAUUUAAAUCUGUAGGAAAAUAUUUUAGACAUCUGACCAAUCACUGACUUGAUAAUGUCAGUGAGGUAGCUGGUAUUCAUUAGAAAUAUGCUAUGUAUAUGCUUCAGAACCAUUGUACAGAUGCAUUACUAUCUUCAAACUAAUUUCUAGAUUUCCUGGUCAGGCUUGUUUUAUCAACAGUAGACCUACUGGACCAUGCUUGGUAGGUCUUGCAUCCAUCCAUUCUUAUCCAUGCAUCUUCAACAUAUUUUUUAAGCUAAACAAAAAGUUCUGUACCAAAUGACAGCCCUUGAGGAUUUGUUCAUCAUCCAUAAUUAUAGCCAAAUCAGUGAUAUUCCAGUAUCCUUUCAAAAUCCAAAUGUAUCAAACUGUAAUCUGUUUCUGCAAAUAAUCAUAAUCACACUGUAUUCUGUGAAGUUGCCAAGUUUUCAAAUCUCUGACAUCAGGCAGCUUUCUGGUAAUUUGAUUUAGGUUUAUAUUUAGGGUAGUUUCUGUCCUUGCCAAUAAUUUGCUAAAUUUGUGUGGGAGACCUCUUCACUAGAAGGAAGGAAAGGAAAAUAUCAGACUACUAAGUGUAUGUCAUUGUUUUUAACCUAUUUUCUUUGGGAAAAAUUGCCGUAGAGGAUUAUGUUGUGUAUGUUAUAUGGAGAACAGUACAGUUCCAGUGUCAUACCUUCAUUUUGAGACUGAUUGCGGGUUCUAUCCCCGCCCGUGGUAUGGUUUGGUUGCAAUCGUGUCAUUACGAUUUUGUGAGUCAUACCUUCAUUGGUUGCAGCACAAUGAAUAUGGAUUUUAUUUUGUGUCUCUGACUUGCUGAUUGGUCAGACCUCUCCCAGAACUUAAGUACAGUGGACCCCCAAGUUUCGGCAGCAUCGACUUU
Non-coding RNA from Cherax quadricarinatus, 1268 nucleotides. The record is from RefSeq and is a predicted model, not a curated record. NCBI's taxonomy places the organism in Eukaryota, Metazoa, Arthropoda, Malacostraca, Decapoda, Parastacidae.